RNAcentral lists this ribosomal RNA (197 nucleotides) under uncultured bacterium. RNAcentral describes it as "partial 16S ribosomal RNA". It matches the Rfam family "Bacterial small subunit ribosomal RNA", at positions 328 to 539 of the family's 1533-position model. The record is from RNAcentral.
ACGCUCGACACCUACGGGAGGUAGCAGUGGGGAAUAUUGCACAAUGGGGGAAACCCUGAUGCAGCGACGCCGCGUGAGCGAAGAAGUAUUUCGGUAUGUAAAGCUCUAUCAGCAGGGAAGAAACUGACGGUACCUGACUAAGAAGCACCGGCUAAAUACGUGCAGCAGCCGCGGUAAUCUGAGCGGGCUGGCAAGGC